This 653-nucleotide ribosomal RNA is filed under the name Xylodon flaviporus. RNAcentral's name for it is "eukaryotic LSU rRNA". The stretch from base 248 to 401 matches the Rfam family "5.8S ribosomal RNA". The record is from RNAcentral. Lineage: Eukaryota; Fungi; Basidiomycota; Agaricomycetes; Hymenochaetales; Schizoporaceae.
GCUAUGGUGACUGCGGAGGAUCAUUACUGAGUUUUGAAGUGGGCUUGAUGCUGGCAGUCUUUUUGAUGCAUGUGCUCAGCCCCGCUCUCAAAUCCACUCAACACCUGUGCACUUUCAAAGUUGUAGUCCUCCGUAAUGGGAGUCGCAAGUCCUUUUUGACUUGCUGGGACUGCGCUUUGCCAUUUAUCACAAACGAUAUUCAUUGUUUUGUAGAAUGUCUAGCCUCAUUGUAGGUGAAACUUAAUACAACUUUCAACAACGGAUCUCUUGGCUCUCGCAUCGAUGAAGAACGCAGCGAAAUGCGAUAAGUAAUGUGAAUUGCAGAAUUCAGUGAAUCAUCGAAUCUUUGAACGCACCUUGCGCUCCUUGGUAUUCCGAGGAGCAUGCCUGUUUGAGUGUCGUGAAAUUAUCAACUCCUAUUCUUUAUUGAAUGGUGAGCUUGGAUUUGGAGAUUGCUGGUGAAAAUCGGCUUCUCUUGAAUGAAUUAGCUGGAAUUUGAUUCGCAGCAUAUAUGCGGUGUGAUAAUGUCGUCACUGUGUAGCUCGGAUUGUCUGGCUUCUAAUCGUCUUUCAUGGACAAUUUGAUCAUUUUGACCUCAAAUCAGGUAGGACUACCCGCUGAACUUAAGCAUAUCAAAAAGCGGGGAGGAAAAA